AGAGUGAACGCUGGCGGCAGGCCUAACACAUGCAAGUCGAACGGCAGCACAGAGGAGCUUGCUCCUUGGGUGGCGAGUGGCGGACGGGUGAGGAAUACAUCGGAAUCUGCCUUAUCGUGGGGGAUAACGUAGGGAAACUUACGCUAAUACCGCAUACGACCUACGGGUGAAAGCGGAGGACCUUCGGGCUUCGCGCGAUAAGAUGAGCCGAUGUCGGAUUAGCUAGUUGGUGGGUAAAGGCCCACCAAGGCUACGAUCCGUAGCUGGUCUGAGAGGAUGAUCAGCCACACUGGAACUGAGACACGGUCCAGACUCCUACGGAGGCAGCAGUGGGGAAUAUUGGACAAUGGGCGCAAGCCUGAUCCAGCCAUGCCGCGUGUGUGAAGAAGGUCUUCGGAUUGUAAAGCACUUUAAGUUGGAGGAAGGCAGUUACCUAAUACGUAUCUGUUUUGACGUUACGACAGAAUAAGCACCGGCU
This 478-nucleotide ribosomal RNA is filed under the name uncultured soil bacterium. Its description in RNAcentral is "bacterial SSU rRNA". It matches the Rfam family "Bacterial small subunit ribosomal RNA", at positions 26 to 498 of the family's 1533-position model. The record is from RNAcentral.